RNAcentral lists this unclassified non-coding RNA (770 nucleotides) under Zea mays. RNAcentral's name for it is "misc RNA Zm00001eb326400". The record is from RNAcentral. Lineage: Eukaryota; Viridiplantae; Streptophyta; Magnoliopsida; Poales; Poaceae.
ACAAUUCAUGAAAUUUUUACCAGCCACCAAACAUCACACCAAGAGUCUACUGUAAAAAUGGCAACCUAUUUGAAGCAAUGGAGCUACAGAUCCAAAAAUAACAAGCAAAUAAAUCUUCUCUUUUCUUAUUUAACAUGAUUUAAUUAGCAUACCAAGAAAAUAGUGAACAACAUAUAAGUUUUAUAUUUUUUCUUGAUGGAGUAUGACAACAUCUAACUAACAAAACAGGUUUCAUCAUUUUUGGAUUUUUAUAAAUAAAAUUAUGGAGAGAAGCAAGUUUGUUUAUUCUCUAAACCAGUUUUUAAAUAUAAAUUUCUACAGAAAAACUUUUCCACUGAAACAUUCCAACUUAGAUAUCCAUGGCAUAGAGAAUUUCACAAGGAUUCCAAAAAGUCCUCAUUUAACGUUUUACGAUUUUUCUACGAUUUUCUAUGAAUUUUCAAACUUCAGCACAAAAUCUGAGAUAUAAAACCGAAAAUGGGAACAACAAACUUUCACCCAGGUCCCUGAAACAAACGUGCCUACACAUCAGCACAUAUGCCCUUUCAGCACUAUUCACAAGAGUCACAAACCCUUCACUUACCCCCCUGCUGUUCUGGAAUUUGCAGAUUGGUCCAUCGUCUUCUUCCUUGGAACGUACAGGGAAAGGGGAUCGGCCUUUCCUGGCCGGGGCUCGCCGGCGUCGGCCGAGCGCGGCGGGGCCAGCCGAGCCGUCCCUGGUGGAGCGCGCGCACAGCCAAGGAGUUGGCUGGGCCGGCGGCAGCUCCAGG